This 252-nucleotide ribosomal RNA is filed under the name uncultured bacterium. Its description in RNAcentral is "partial 16S ribosomal RNA". It matches the Rfam family "Bacterial small subunit ribosomal RNA", at positions 524 to 776 of the family's 1533-position model. The record is from RNAcentral.
GACGUAGGGCGCAAGCGUUGUCCGGAUUUAUUGGCGUAAAGAGCUCGUAGGCGGCUUGUCGCGUCGACUGUGAAAACUCGAGGCUCAACCUCGGGCUUGCAGUGGAUACGGGCAGACUAGAGUGCGGUAGGGGAGACUGGAAUUCCUGGUGUAGCGGUGGAAUGCGCAGAUAUCAGGAGGAACACCGAUGGCGAAGGCAGGUCUCUGGGCCGCAACUGACGCUGAGGAGCGAAAGCAUGGGGAGCGAACAGG